CCUUCUCUUCUUGGUGGGGUCGGCGGUCUGGUGCCCUGAAGUACAGAGGAGAGUGAAAGGGCUCCGGCCCCCUGGGCAUCCUGCCUUGGAUGCCAAUGGUUUCCAGUCUGC
Molecule: small nucleolar RNA, 111 nt
Filed under: Myotis brandtii (Brandt's bat)
Lineage: Eukaryota; Metazoa; Chordata; Mammalia; Chiroptera; Vespertilionidae
Description: Small nucleolar RNA SNORA57
Rfam family: Small nucleolar RNA SNORA57
About the family: U99 belongs to the H/ACA class of snoRNAs which are thought to guide the sites of modification of uridines to pseudouridines, the target for this family is unknown.
Source: Rfam by way of RNAcentral